RNAcentral lists this ribosomal RNA (464 nucleotides) under uncultured bacterium. RNAcentral describes it as "bacterial SSU rRNA". It matches the Rfam family "Bacterial small subunit ribosomal RNA", at positions 8 to 507 of the family's 1533-position model. The record is from RNAcentral.
AGAGUUUGAUCAUGGCUCAGGAUGAACGCUGGCGGCGUGCCUAAUACAUGCAAGUCGAGCGGAAAGGCCUCUUCGGAGGUACUCGAGCGGCGGACGGCAGAGUAACGCGUAGGAGCAUACCCCAAACUGAGGGAUAACUGCCCGAAAGGGUGGCUAAUACCGCAUGUGAUCUUCGGAUUAAAGCUUCGGCGGUUUGGGAAUGGCCUGCGUUCGAUUAGCUAGUUGGUGAGGUAAAAGGCUCACCAAGGCGACGAUCGAUAACUGGUCUGAGAGGAUGAUCAGUCUGACUGGAACUGAGACACGGUCCAGACUCCUACGGGAGGCAGCAGUAGGGAAUUUUCCACAAUGGGCGAAAGCCUGAUGGAGCAACGCCGCGUGCAGGAUGAAGGCCCUUGGGUCGUAAACUGCUUUUAUGUGAGAAGAAUAUGACGGUAACACAUGAAUAAGGGUCGGCUAACUACGUG